This 217-nucleotide long non-coding RNA is filed under the name Malus domestica (apple). RNAcentral's name for it is "long non-coding RNA (MDOM_LNC000575)". Lineage: Eukaryota; Viridiplantae; Streptophyta; Magnoliopsida; Rosales; Rosaceae. The record is from RNAcentral.
GCAUAUUGUAUAUGAGGUUGUGGUGGCUGCAUAGGUCUUGAAUAGAACUCCUCAUAUGGCUGCCAAUAUGCUUCGUGUUGAACUUGUUGAGCUUCCCACCACAUAGGGUUUGACUGAUCACUCCAAUCUCUUUGUGGACAUUGAUUGGCUUGAUAUCCUUGCUUAUAAGACGCACCAAAUGUAGGGACACUUUGCAUUGUGGUCCUUUCAGCAUACU